GGAUCCGUAGCUCAACUGGAUAGAGCGUUGCCCUCCGAAGGCAUAGGUUGCGAGUUCGAAUCUCGCCGGGUCCACCA
RNAcentral lists this transfer RNA (77 nucleotides) under Alphaproteobacteria bacterium. RNAcentral's name for it is "tRNA-Arg". It matches the Rfam family "tRNA". From Rfam's summary of the family: Transfer RNA (tRNA) molecules are approximately 80 nucleotides in length. Their secondary structure includes four short double-helical elements and three loops (D, anti-codon, and T loops). The record is from RNAcentral. Lineage: Bacteria; Pseudomonadati; Pseudomonadota; Alphaproteobacteria.